CCUACGGGCGGCAGCAGUGGGGGAUAUUGCACAAUGGGCGGAACCCUGAUGCAGCGACGCCGCGUGGGUGAAGGAGUGCUUCGGCAUGUAAAGCCCUGUCGGCAGGGAAGAAGCAAGACGGUACCUGACUAAGAAGCCUCGGCUAACCACGGGCCAGCAGCCGCGGCAAUACGGAGGGUGCGAGCGUUAACCGUAUGCACUGGGUGUAAAGGGAGCGUAGACGGCAAUGCAAGCCAGGGGUGAAAGCCCGGGGCUCAACCUCGGGACUGCCCUUGGAACUGUGCGGCUAGAGUGCGGGAGGGGAUGGCGGAAUUCCUGGUGUAGCGGUGAAAUGCGUAGAUAUCAGGAGGAACACCGGCGGCGAAGGCGACCAGCUGGAAUGCGACUGACGUUGAGGCUCGAAAGCGUGGGGAGCGAACAGGAUUAGAUACCCCUGUAGUC
Molecule: ribosomal RNA, 441 nt
Filed under: uncultured bacterium
Lineage: Bacteria
Description: partial 16S ribosomal RNA
Rfam family: Bacterial small subunit ribosomal RNA
Source: RNAcentral